AAUCCAUAGGUUAAUGAGGCGAACCGGGGGAACUGAAACAUCUAAGUACCCCGAGGAAAAGAAAUCAACCGAGAUUCCCCCAGUAGCGGCGAGCGAACGGGGAGGAGCCCAGAGCCUGAAUCAGCAUGUGUGUUAGUGGAAGCGUCUGGAAAGGCGCGCGAUACAGGGUGACAGCCCCGUACACAAAAGCGCAUGUGCUGUGAGCUCGAUGAGUAGGGCGGGACACGUGGUAUCCUGUCUGAAUAUGGGGGGACCAUCCUCCAAGGCUAAAUACUCCUGACUGACCGAUAGUGAACCAGUACCGUGAGGGAAAGGCGAAAAGAACCCCGGCGAGGGGAGUGAAAAAGAACCUGAAACCGUGUACGUACAAGCAGUGGGAGCACCCUUUGGGUGUGACUGCGUACCUUUUGUAUAAUGGGUCAGCGACUUAUAUUCUGUAGCAAGGUUAACCGAAUAGGGGAGCCGGAGGGAAACCGAGUCUUAACCGGGCGUUAAGUUGCAGGGUAUAGACCCGAAACCCGGUGAUCUAGCCAUGGGCAGGUUGAAGGUUGGGUAACACUAACUGGAGGACCGAACCGACUAAUGUUGAAAAAUUAGCGGAUGACCUGUGGCUGGGGGUGAAAGGCCAAUCAAACCGGGAGAUAGCUGGUUCUCCCCGAAAGCUAUUUAGGUAGCGCCUCGUGAAUUCAUCUCCGGGGGUAGAGCACUGUUUCGGCUAGGGGGCCAUCCCGGCUUACCAACCCGAUGCAAACUGCGAAUACCGGAGAAUGUUAUCACGGGAGACACACGGCGGGUGCUAACGUCCGUCGUGAAGAGGGAAACAACCCAGACCGCCAGCUAAGGUCCCAAAGUCAUGGUUAAGUGGGAAACGAUGUGGGAAGGCCCAGACAGCCAGGAUGUUGGCUUAGAAGCAGCCAUCAUUUAAAGAAAGCGUAAUAGCUCACUGGUCGAGUCGGCCUGCGCGGAAGAUGUAACGGGGCUAAACCAUGCACCGAAGCUGCGGCAGCGACACUGUGUGUUGUUGGGUAGGGGAGCGUUCUGUAAGCCUGUGAAGGUGUGUCGUGAGGCAUGCUGGAGGUAUCAGAAGUGCGAAUGCUGACAUAAGUAACGAUAAAGCGGGUGAAAAGCCCGCUCGCCGGAAGACCAAGGGUUCCUGUCCAACGUUAAUCGGGGCAGGGUGAGUCGACCCCUAAGGCGAGGCCGAAAGGCGUAGUCGAUGGGAAACGGGUUAAUAUUCCCGUACUUGGUGUUACUGCGAAGGGGGGACGGAGAAGGCUAUGUUGGCCGGG
RNAcentral lists this ribosomal RNA (1289 nucleotides) under Salmonella enterica. RNAcentral describes it as "partial 23S ribosomal RNA". It matches the Rfam family "Bacterial large subunit ribosomal RNA", at positions 161 to 1495 of the family's 2925-position model. The record is from RNAcentral. Lineage: Bacteria; Pseudomonadati; Pseudomonadota; Gammaproteobacteria; Enterobacterales; Enterobacteriaceae. RNAcentral also lists the same sequence under 2 other names.